GGCGGCGUAGCCAAGUGGUAAGGCAGAGGACUGCAAAUCCUUGAGCACCGGUUCGAAUCCGGUCGCCGCCUCCA
This 74-nucleotide transfer RNA is filed under the name bacterium. RNAcentral's name for it is "tRNA-Cys". It matches the Rfam family "tRNA". From Rfam's summary of the family: Transfer RNA (tRNA) molecules are approximately 80 nucleotides in length. Their secondary structure includes four short double-helical elements and three loops (D, anti-codon, and T loops). The record is from RNAcentral. RNAcentral also lists the same sequence under 2 other names.